This 563-nucleotide ribosomal RNA is filed under the name uncultured bacterium. Its description in RNAcentral is "bacterial SSU rRNA". It matches the Rfam family "Bacterial small subunit ribosomal RNA", at positions 123 to 720 of the family's 1533-position model. The record is from RNAcentral.
AACGUGCCUUUAGGUUCGGAAUAACUCAGGGAAACUUGUGCUAAUACCGAAUGUGCCCUUCGGGGGAAAGAUUUAUCGCCUUUAGAGCGGCCCGCGUCUGAUUAGCUAGUUGGUGAGGUAAAGGCUCACCAAGGCGACGAUCAGUAGCUGGUCUGAGAGGAUGAUCAGCCACAUUGGGACUGAGACACGGCCCAAACUCCUACGGGAGGCAGCAGUGGGGAAUCUUGCGCAAUGGGCGAAAGCCUGACGCAGCCAUGCCGCGUGAAUGAUGAAGGUCUUAGGAUUGUAAAAUUCUUUCACCGGGGACGAUAAUGACGGUACCCGGAGAAGAAGCCCCGGCUAACUUCGUGCCAGCAGCCGCGGUAAUACGAAGGGGGCUAGCGUUGCUCGGAAUUACUGGGCGUAAAGGGAGCGUAGGCGGACAUUUAAGUCAGGGGUGAAAUCCCGGGGCUCAACCUCGGAAUUGCCUUUGAUACUGGGUGUCUUGAGUAUGAGAGAGGUGUGUGGAACUCCGAGUGUAGAGGUGAAAUUCGUAGAUAUUCGGAAGAACACCAGUGGCGAAG